CGCGAAGAAAGAGUCGUCCCGUUGGUGGUCGUUAAUUCUUGUCGCACGUGUCCCACCGCUUUGAUCACGCGAGUAUGCUAAUUGCACCGUCCACCGCCCACUCGCUGCCAGUGCAUGGAAAAUCGUCGACAGCGACCAAAAGUAAGAGGAAGAUGAAGGAAAAGAAGAAGGAUCAUGAUGAUGGAAGAGAGGAGAAAUAGCAGAAACAAGACCAAGAGAAGGAGAAAGAAAAAAUGGAAGAAAGAGGAGAAACUUUGACUUGAGUCGAGUGAUUUUGCCACUCUCCAUUGGCAUGUACAUUCUGUUGGCACAUGCGCGAAUUCCGAUUCCAAAGCAUUGAGAAAGACAUACUAGGAAUAUAGGAAAAUUAAUUUGUCUUAACAUUUUAUUGGGAUCUUCUUCGACACGUAAAUUAAAUGGAAGAAAGUCACAUUUUUCCAACCAUUGGAGUUUCCAUGAAAAUAUAACUUAAUGGACCAAAACGAAUUUCUAUGGAGAAGAAAGUAUGCCUGUGGUUUUCCAGGCGGGUAAAAAGGACGGUGCACGCGCCGCUUGCAGAAACGUUUCGUAAAUUCGAAGAAUGACUGGAAAGAAGUGGCCGCCGCACAAAGCGUGCCGACACAACCGGGCUCGUUUGCCCCGCGGAGGUAAUUGUCUUCUUGGCCGCACGAGAGCGCACGUAUUCCGCAAGCAAAUACACACCAAGAGGCUGGCUUACAUACAGCGUUCUCACGGGAUGGAGAAUAAACACCAUGGUCCGGUCUGUUACCGACUUUUCAACUUUUCGUUUCCUGGACACGGUUUGUUGGAACAUUCCUCUCACUCGUUCAGUUGUCGAUUUGUGGAUAACGAAUUGCAAUGAAUAGAAGAAAUUUCUAUAUUGUUUAUAAUGUUAUAUUUUGUUCUUUUUUUCAAGAGAAGAAUUCUUAUAAUAAUUACAUAAUGUUAAGAAGAUAGAAAAUGAGUGAAAUUAUGAAUAGAAAAAUGAAAAAAAGAAGGAAAAAACAACGAAUACAGUUAUUGAAUUUAAAAUAAAAUUAGAAAAAGAAAUAUCAGAAGAGAAAGAAAUAAAUUAUAAAAUUGUGAUAAAGAUGUUGUAUAUUGUUAAAUUAUUUUGUUUCAAAUAGUUAAUAUCUAUUUUGCUCUUCGAUCCCCAGAGACCGGAAAACACGUCGAAAAUUUAUCGAGCGCGGCUGUAGAAUGUCUUUUCGUGAUUAUUCUCAGCUUAACGUGCCACGUCUCUCUUUGAUCCUUCGUGAAAUAUAAAUCGAAAGAAACUUACACAGCAGAAUAUUUACGAUAUUCGAACGAGGAAUUUUUUUUAACUCGAGGAAGACAUAUCCCUAACAAAACUGAUUCGUCGGUAUCUAUGAAGUCCUGUAAUAAAAAAAUAUCAGCGGAAGUAAUAUUUGAAGUGACACAAUAUAUUAAAAGAGUAAAACAAAUUUUUUUUCCAUUACACUAUUUAAUCUCUUCUAUUAUUAUUUUUGUUAUAAUAGAAAAAAAAAGUUUUUACAUAUCAAUCGUUUGUUCAUCAAA
Long non-coding RNA from Apis mellifera (honey bee), 1539 nucleotides. RefSeq lists it as uncharacterized. The transcript is spliced from 3 exons. Lineage: Eukaryota; Metazoa; Arthropoda; Insecta; Hymenoptera; Apidae. The record is from RefSeq and is a predicted model, not a curated record.